This 29976-nucleotide long non-coding RNA is filed under the name Triticum aestivum (bread wheat). Its description in RNAcentral is "long non-coding RNA (TAES_LNC014401)". Lineage: Eukaryota; Viridiplantae; Streptophyta; Magnoliopsida; Poales; Poaceae. The record is from RNAcentral.
CGCCGGACGGAUCUGGCAUCCGGGCUGCCGCAACAUGGGCUCCGCACCGCCGGCGGUUUUGACCUCGCCUUCUGCCAGCGGUGGUAGCUGCAUCCCAUGGCCGAGGAUGACUAGGUGGACGGGCCGGAGGUAGGAGGUCACUCGAGGAUUUUUGUUGGUAAGAGCAUGUACAAUGGUUGAUAAUGUAGUCUUAUCUUAAGUCUGCCACGUAUGCAAGUGGUAGUAGUUUCUUGGCAUUUUAGUGGUUUCUUAUUAGAGCAAGUACAAUAGAGCUGAGUCAGCGGGCUAUAAGAAAUAAACUUCUACUACAUGUUGGCUAUAAGAUGGGUUGUAGAUGACAUGGCACCGGCUUAUAGCCAGCAUCUGGCUAUACUAUUAACCAUGCUCUUAGGGUUUUCUUGUAAGGAACAAUGUAUGUACUACUAGCGAUAAAAGGCGAUUCUAGGUUGCGUUGUACUCCAACGAGUACUACUAGUGGUCGCGGGAGUGUAUACCUCGUUUUGUGGGUUCGAUCCCGGCCGAACGCACGGCGGCCUUUUAAAAAAAUAGUACUACUACACUUCGCUGCGAGCCAAUAUUUUACACGGGUAGUUUGAGUUUUGAAGUCAAAUGGACAUGCGGCCCCACAAUAUGGGUGCACUGGACAGCCUAGCCAUGUGAAAGGGUUUUCCUUCCCAGCAUCCUGUGGCUCGCGUGCUCGCCCUAGCCGCACCUCGCUUGCAGCUUCCAGCUAGUAGCAUAUUUAAACUAGCGCCUCCCAAUUAAGCUCGAGUAGCCGGAAAAGCCUGGCGGGGCAUUGUGAACUGUGCAAUAUGGCUCUGUACGUAAAGUGCUCUACUACUACUCUGUAGCUUGUGGCGUUGCAUGCAUGGACUUCACUCCAUUAUCGGCUCUACUAUAAAAGAAAUUCCUCUUGCCGUGUUUUUUUUAAACGGAGGCAAAAGCUUUGCUUCAUCUCAUUCAUAAAGAAGGAACUACUAACAAAGUUCGACGAGAUCCAUUACACCUCCACAAAUGGAAGCGAAAAGCCUAGUCUCGCUGUAUCAAAUAACUCAAAUGUUCUGCCCCCGCAGUAACCGUCGUUGAUAAACAGGCUGCUAGUGUGUGCGUGAGAGGAGCAGCUGAGUAGGCCAGCUACGUGAGAGGAGCGGCUGAAUAGAGCACCAAGAGUACCUACUAGGCCACCACGCAGGUGUACUUCCCCUGCAUUGAUAGUACAGCGAUGGUUCUAGAGAACAGUAGUACCCUCCACUUCCAACUGUAGCUCCCCUGCCCUGAGAUUCAAGAGUUCAAAAUUGGUGCACUAUACUAGACUAGACUAGAAGUACAGUACAUCGCACUACUAGUUGAGAAAAGUAGUACUAGUACUGCUACAGUACAUGUACAAAAAAUUUACUAGUGCUAUUAUUUACAGUAUAAUGCAAUCCCAUAACGUUCCAUAAUCCCUUUCUUUCAAAAAAAUCACUUCUGGAGAGAAGAUUGCUAUCUCCACGCGAGCUUCUCAUAGGCCAGCGCCACCGCAUGCAGUCAUGUGAGAGAGAGGGAGACAUCCAUGCACCAUGCAGAGAGAGGAGAACAUGAGCGGAGAGCCAAUGGGCUACAUGGGGCAUUUGUAGUUGCUAACUCCUCCCAUCCAUGCACCAGGGGUAUUUCCGUCCAGAAAGCAUGCAGCGAGCCCCUGCCUUGGUAUCCGGGUCUGCUCUUAUGCGCAGAGUAAAAAGAAUCGAAGGGAGUACUAGUAGUAAAUAAUAGCCUCACCCCUUCGCUGAGGAACGAUCUACAGUUGGAAGGGACGAGGCCCUGCGGUUACUACGCUCUUAUCUCCUCCUCGCCAGUUCCCCUCCCCCCGAAGAGAAGGCAGUUCGUCGCUGCUCCCAUGGAUUCGCCAGGCGGUUCUCCUCCUCAUCGGGGCUGGGAGACCUUGGACGACGAUCCUGUGGGAGAAAUCACACGCUGCUCCGAUGGCCUCACCGCCGCAAGACUCGGUGCUUCCUGCACCAACUUUUUCAAGACGCUGCUUAAAUAGGCCAUGCUUGUUGGUCUUCCAUGCAUCCUCGAGGAGAAGGUUCUUCUAUGGGAAAAUCCUUCGAUCAGUCCACCGCUCCCUGGCCAUGGUUGCACGUUGACUCCGCUAGAGUUGCCGACGUUGAGAGGUAGUCGGAUUUUGUCCGGUGAGCAGGUCAGUAAUGGAGUUUGAUCAUGUAGUACAUAGUUAUUCCAUUUCCAUCCCGUAAUUUCUCCGCUGCCCACCGUCUUAUAUAUAGGUCUGGGUCUGUGCCAACGAAGACUGGCUUGCAUACCUCCGGCCGGAUACCACCAUCAUUUUGCACAACAUCCACAGCAGUGCGGCCGUUCCGGUAGACCCCUUCUCCAACAUUGGGAUCGGCCUUAUGGACUGGCUGGGCAAGAAUAUGUAUGAUGAUGCCUACAUGAGAUUGAAGAAGAUAGCAAUUGUGGACCCGCCGACAAAGCGACGUGGCUACGACGAUUACUAUCUCAUCGCGGUGUUCGACAUAAGGAUUGCCAUCAAUGCAUGAGGCAGUAACGGCAGAGGCUGGCGCAUGUUGGCGGCGGCAGAUUUGUACCCCUACACGUUCAAAUACGUCGUGCGCCAUCUAGGCCGCAUCUUCGCGGUGACAAGCCAGGGGACUUGUUUCAUCUAGUUGACAUCCUACGGUACGGGAGAUUACAAACGGAAUGCACAAACCAUCAUUUGCAUCCCUAACGGUACUCCAUUAUUUUGCAGGGACCAGUCAUCCCCCGAUCAAAAUAAGAUCGCCGAUCCUGGAUGUGCAUUUGCAUCCAUGAUUCGGUCUAACCUGGAACCUUGUAGCUGACUUUGGCAUAUUGGGAUCAACUAUCUUAGCAGUCGUUACCCAUGGUACCACUGAUGUGCAACAUGGUCACAUAAUCUACCAUGAUCGGACCAUCACCAUCUACCCAGGUAUUCCAUUUUUUAACCCUCUCGCCUUCUCUUUCAUUGUUGUACUCGUAGUAUACUUUGUAGUACUAGUAGGAGUACUUUUUACCUUGGAUGACGCGUAUAGCUAGCUAGGCCCGUGAAGACUUGAACCCACUAGCUGCCACCAUUUUUGUUUUUCCAUGUCUUACUAUCUCAUCCAUGUAGCCAAGAGUGGCUAUAUAUAUUAAGCCGGUUAUUUUACUUCCUCUAUACCGGAGUAGUACUAUUUGUUGCACAGUAUUACUCACCGCCACAUUUGAGCACAACGUUAUUAUGCAUGGACCUUGACUAUGUACGUCACCAUGUGUCCAGAUCUGGGAUGCCGCGUGUACCAGAUGAACGGCGCCGAGUUCGACCCCCGUGAUGCUAUGUGGGUGCCGAGGAACACUCUUAGAGAGUACUCGCUUUUCAUGGGGGACAGCUACCCCAUUGUGAAGCGGAUGCCACCUUCCGUGCACGACACGGAAGGCCUACCAUUCAUGAAGCAUGGUUGUGUCUUCAGUGCGCACCGCCGGAUGAAUGACAUGCUGGGACACGCUAUCCCUAAUUUAUGCCGCUUCAGCUUGGAUGAGUCUCCAUCGUGUGGAACCAGACUAGAAAGUUGCGACAAUGAUUCCCGUUGCCCACCGCUAUGGAUCGUGCCAUCCAUGAGGAACACCUAGGACUAGAACCUGGAGGAGGACAUGUAGCCCAUCUAUAACGUGUAUGUGGAGUACGGUAAUUGUGGACGGUAGCGCUGUGAAUAUAUGUAGACUAGUCAUGCACAAAUUUAUCACAUGAGUUGGAGAUGAACUUGUGUGGCAUACUGGCAUUUGUCCUUCAGAAUUUAUUACUAGUAAAUGUGUUAUGUGUACGUGCAACUUGUGUGGUUGUUGCACGGGCUCCAACACGCUCUUUGAGAAAAAAAGGUGGCACAGCUUUGGAUAUACGUGACGUGGCGGCAUCAUACAGUAGCAUCGUUCGCUAUAGUUGUACUAGUACACUCCUACUAGGACGACAACUCCUAUAAAACCUUGCGCUUGGCUCUUUGCCUCUUCGGGAGGUUCAACAGUCCGUACUCGUGUGAACCUUGCACUUGGCUCUUCGCCUCUUCAGAAGGUCCAACAAUGAUGAUACUACAGUACAAUAUGCUUCUGGCUAUCUGACACCGAUUGAACUGUUGCACGUCCACCGCGAGGGCGAGGGCGAGGGAGAGGGAGAGGGAGAGGGCGCUGUAGUCAAAACCCUCUCCUCGUCCUGCGAACCACCGCGCGCCUGGGCGAGGGAGAGGCGUAGUAAGCAAGCUUCUCCUCGUUCGGCGAGUUGACGGGACACAUCAAAGCAGUACUAGUACUAGUAGUAGUAGUAGUCCAUACUGCGUCCUUUCCGAUUAAUAUGGCUUAAUUUGAAAUGAGAAAAAUACACUGGCGGUCAACGUAUGUAACAAUACGCUCUUUAUGGUCACUAUAUAUAGUUUUGCGGCGAUUAUGCGAUCACUAGCUCAUUGUAGAGCACCGUAUUGCACCCUACUAACCGGCCACAUAGUCGACGUGGCACUUUGUUGACUGGUUAAAUUGUCACCUGGUUUCUGGGUCCCACCUGUCAGUUGGCAGAGCAAAGAAAUCAGUUAAACAAAACUUUACACAGGUGCUCCACGAGUCCAACCCUUGCGCGCGAACCGCCCUGGCUGUGUAUGUGAGUGCAUGCACGUGUCCUCCCUCGGUCUUCCAACAAAGAGUGUACUACAUGAUGUACAUCUACACUUCCAAUGUGUUUAGCCUUUAAUCUAAAUCGAUAUUGAUUGACUAAUGCACCAACUUGUGCUGUAGGUAUAGGCUACAUGUCUAUCCUUAAUUACAGCAUGCAACGGCCUUCAUUUAAUCUUCUCAUCUCAAUGGUCGCAUGCACACAUAAGUCUGCUACUUUUGGGCGUUAAUUAUGCCCUGGUCAAUGUGUAAAUCUCUAAAUGUACAGUCUUUCACGGACGUAGGGAGUAGGUUGAUCACUUGAGUGUGAGCGUGUGUGUUGCGUCGUGUGCUGUGUGCCGCAUGGGUGCGUGAGUGUUGCGUGCGUCCAUGUGUACGUGUGAGUGUUGCAUGUUGCAGGCAUGCAUGCAUGGGGCUUACUCCCUCCCAUUGACAUGUCCAUUUGGCUAUAGAUUUCAACAAGUGACUAGGUACGGAGCAAAAUGAGUGAAGUAAGCGUAGAGGCAUAGGGAUACUGUAGAAAGGAAGUCCUCGCGAUCCAUUUAUUCCCCAUCUUGGUCAGAGAGAACUAUUCAACUAGUCUUCGGAGUGAAGUGACAAUACACACUGCAGCAGAUGGGACACGUAAUUAAUAAGCUGAACCAGCGUGUUGGUGUUACUAAAUCAGUCGGUUAUGUUUGGUAGUCUCAAGUCAUUGAAAGCAUGCACAACCCACAUAUCUUAUUGGUUGAUAUGCCACAAAACAAAAAAACGAAGGGAGUUAAUGUACGGUGCCUAAGUGUUUUGGGAUUAUUUGGUUUUCGUAAGGUGACUUACACACCUAGACGGAGGGAGUAGUAGAAUUGAGAUUGAAUGCACUUUCUUCCCCAUCUACCACUCUUCUUCCUCCUCUCUUCUUCUUCCUCCUCUCUUCCCCAUCGUCGGCCGCACACCAUUUACCCCCGCUCACUGCUCACCCGCCCGCGCCAUCUUCCUUGGUAGCUCAUGCGUACCAUAUCCCCCCGCUCACUGCUCGGCCACACGAGGAGAAGCUUCUUCCCUCGCCCGCCCGAAUCCACUUCCCCGCUGGCUCGCAAGCACCGAAAACCCCAAUGGCAGAACCGACUGACACGCAGAGCCGCGAUUGGAACUCCCUCCCCGAUGUUCACUUGGAGCAGAUCUGUAGUCGUAUGGACCUACUCAGCACCGUCUGUCUGGCCGCAUGCUCGGUGUCUUUGUACCGUCUACUCGUCUGCAACCGGCUGGCUCUUUUCAAGACACCCUGCUUGCUAAUGCCCGAUCCUCACAGGUGGCCCAGACACCGACUUGACGAUCCUACAGAGGUUGCCGUGGUGCCCCUCGACAUGCUACCACUACCCGUCCAUAUGUCCUUCAUGCACGGCCACUACUGGGCGGGCAUGAAGGCCAACUGGAUCGUCCUCAUCCACCACACCGAUAGUCCGUGGCGUCUCGUGGAUAUCUACACCCAGCGAGAGAUCACCCGUCCGUCAUUGGAUACCGCCGCCAUCGAGCCUCGUGGCCCGCCGGACACUCCUGCCUACUACGCACGAGACGCGUCAAGCUUUUGGCUCGACCUCUAUUUACAGAAAGUUGUAAUCUGCGAAGUGCCCAUGCCAUCAGAAGACUACACGGAUUACAAGCUCAUUGCCUUGUUCAACAAGGGAUUAGUCUAUCUGGAAUCCAAUCGCCAUACAUGGUUAUGGCUCAUCAUCAAUCCAGUUGAGGAAACAUUUCUGUCUGAUGCUAUAGUGCAUGAUGGCAUCAUUUACGCGGUCGACGCACAGAUUGGCUACCUAUAUUGGUGGAAUCUAUCGUCAUGUAAUUAUUCUAUCUCAUCUCAUCUUUACCUUAAGAAUACGAUUGCAUGUUCAUUUGUUACAAAUUUAGAAUGCAUAGCAUGUCUAUAACCACAUCAUUGCUAUAUGUUCCUCUCAUUUCCUAGAUUUUUAUGACCACACAUGUUAUUGUUAGAGUUGAUAUGAGAACAAUUGGCACCUAAUGAUUGUUAGAAUACAUAUUAUGGGCAUAACAUCAUGAUUGCUAUAUGUUACUCUCGUUUACAAGAUUUUUAUAACAACACAUGUUAUUGCUUAGAGUUGAUAUGAGAACAGUAGUAGUAAGUGCUAUGGUAGAAUAUGAGUAGGCGCUGUCAUAGAUGUUUUCCUCUCAUUGUUACAUGAUGUUUGAACCAUGACAUAUUGCUAUAAUAUGAAAGCCACUGGCUUAUUUUUUUAACUUGGGGUAUGAUUAUGACCACGGCAUUGCAAUUCUCUGUCUAUGAUAUGUGUCACUGUUAUAAUAAUCUUAAUUCCACACAUCCUCUGAACAUGAUUGUUUAUUUUUGUCCUUUUGGUCUCCAAUUUGAAUUGUUGCAGCAGACGCAAAUGCGCUGGCCUUCAUGAUUCCAGGACCUGGAAUCAUACCAGCCGAUGGGUGGUGGUUUAUCACUCAUUCAGCUGACGACGGUCAUUUAAUGCUCAUUUGCACGUACCAAAUUGAUCAAACCACAUGCAGUACAAUGCGUGGGGCGUUCGUGACAUUGAUGGUUAUGGCUGCUUCGUGUUCGAGAAAGAUCCCAGCUCCGUUGGGCCAGGCGUAUUCAACUGGAGGCGGGUUUACAGCCUCGGCAACCACUCCUUGUUCCUCGGGCUCAAUUAUCCGAUCAUCCAACCAAUCAUCGAUCAUAUCACCGGCGAUGAUUACUGUGCUAUGCAACUUCCAUUCGCGAGGGGGGGCUGUGUUUACACAUCCAUGGGUUUCAUGAAUCACCAUAUCCAGAGAUUCGUCGACACAGCUUGUUGCCAGAUAAUCUUCAGUGUGUGAAAGGCAUCAAGCUUCCAUGCGAUGGAUGGCUUUUGCAAACCCGACAUGCGGCGAUGUGGUUCAUGCCAACAGCAAAUGUGCACAACUUGAUUCGUGUUGAUAUCUAGACUGAGCCAUGUAUUCUGCUGCUGUAGCACGACCCUCUUUUGUUGGAUAUUAUGUACUGCUAUUAGUUUGAAGCACUCCUCUAGUUUGAAGGAUAGAUACCUUCCUGGGAUCAAGUGCAUCCUAACUCACCUGCGUAGGAUGUACUGAUAAUGAUGAUGGAGAUGCUGUGCAGAAGCCAUAUAUAUAUCAGUUAGGCUUCAAGUGCGUACUUGUUAGUUAAACCUAUGUAUAAAUCGUGACACUAAAUAUGACUAGCAAGUAGUACAGUAGCAGUACUAGUAUACGUUGGUCAAAUUAUUCAUCAUGUCCACACAUUGAAUUGACAUGACAACACGCUGCGCGUGAGGUGACACAAGAAUCCCGGCGGCGUGUUCGGGUAUUCUGGACUUCAGAUUUGGAGUACCACUUAUAUGUCGAAAUCUUUCAUCAUUCACUUAAAACAAUCGAUUGAUCAUACAUUGAGUACCAUAUAACUGGAGUUACCGAUGCAAGUCGAAGAAGGAUUGGCCCGUGCUGCCGGCUGGCGUCAAGUUCGAUCCCACGGAUUAGGAGCUGAUCGAGCACCUUGAGGCCAAAGUGAGUGCUGACAGCGCGAGAUUUCAGUCUCUCAUCGAUUUGUUCAUACCAACCAUCGACAGCGAGCACGGCAUAUGUUACACCCAACCUGAGAAACUUCCAGGUAAUACAUCGAUCGGCCGUCUACUUGCACAAACAUAUUCCUUUGUUUAUAGCUCUAUUUUUCUUUUUAGACGCAGACCUGGUGAAGCAAUUACAAUUUGACAGUUAAUAAAAAGUGAAACAAGUGACUGCAACAUGCCAAAGAUGUUAUGAAAAUGCCAACUAGGUACACUAAAACAUGUAUUCCACAAUACUGCAGGUAUCACAUUGAGUGACCUAAGGAAGCAUUUCUUCCAGCGCAAUUCCAGGGCAUUCAAAAGGGGCGUGUGGACGCGUCGCAAGAUACAGUCGAAGUGCGGCAUGCACGCGAUGUGGCACAAGACCGGCAAUACCUUGCCGGUGAUGGUCAACGGCCGGCAGACGGAUAGCAAAAAAGGUUUUGGUGCUGCACACCAACAAGAACUUCGACCAGCAGAGGACCAAUUGGGUGAUGCACCAGUACCACCUCGGGGACCUGGAGCAAGAGAAGGAGCGGGAGCUGGUCCUCUGCAAGAUUUUCUACCAGACGAACACUAGGGCCAGGAGUAAAAAAAUUAUAAGUUAGUUUGGUAUUGGUAGUUGUACUACCUUGUCGUCCGCAAGUUGGUAUUGUUGUUAACGAUCUUUUGGUAUGAACUUGCAUUUGCUUCCAACCAUCAUGCCGAGGGUCGACGUGGAUAUAAAGCCGAAUCAUUUGUUUCGAAACGAAUUUUCAGGCACCUGAUUUUUAUUUGAUGGGUAGCAUAAGCACCCGCCAUUCAAAUUCCUAGUUCUUCGAUUUUUUUCGAAACAAGUGCAUGCACUUAUUAUCACGAUAAAAAAACAAUAUUCGUGCUGCAUCCCAGUUAUCAGUCUGUACUUGCAGAAUUCUAUCGUUUAUUGAGCACGUAUAUUGUUUUUUCAGGUCGAGCAAGUUUCAACUGAGUUGUAGAUUGCCCAGGGUUGUUUUGUUUUUAACAGGCCCAGCCCAUGACGACAACGGGGCACAAAGAUCCAGCAGGUAUCUACUGGCCUCUGGCCUGCCAGCGUUAGUUAUAUUUUGUCUUACAACAUCCGCAGGCAGUUUUUUUUACUGAAUCAAACACACAGCCCAGUUCUAUUUUCCUCUUGAAACGCAUGUCCUACAUCCAUUUUCUAAUCUCUACCUAUAGUUUUACUAGUUCAUAUACACGUAUCAUUAUAUUGAAAACACAUAAAAUUCCCUUUUCAUAUUUACAUCCUUAUUUUUGUUGUUUUUUCCCAUCCAGCGCUGAUUUUUUUACCACUGGUUUUCCCUUAAACCAACUAAAUUGUCCCACGUCUUAUUUGCUUACAAAAACAAAACGAUUUUUUUGGCAAAUCAAUAAGUUCUUAAAAAAUGUUUAUCAUUUCGGGAUUACAACAGUUCAUACUCCAUCGAAAUAUGCAAAAUAAGGUUGGACUUUUUGACUGUGGUCCUGGGCAGAUAAUGGGCUGUAAUAAAUUACUUAAGAAUUAGCAAAUGGGCUGCAAAUUAUAAAAAAUAGCAAAUGGGCUUUAUGUUGUCUGCCACAGAUUUGGAGGCUGACUUGUGGGCCUACUAAGUUCAUGCGUACACAAGGUUUCUCAAAAAAGAAACUUAGUCAACAAUCGACUCUACUAGCGUCAGACCGUUAGAUGUCAAUCUAACGGCAAUCGUGCUUCUUCAGUCUCUGAUCUUCCUGCCUCAGCCGCCCAAACCAGUGCCGUCGGAACCGCCUGCUCCCGCCUCCCAUGGCCGGUAGUGUUGCCGGGAAGGCCUCACGGCCCCAUCAUACUCGCAUCCCUGGCUUGUCUAUCCCUCUACUCACCCACACCUCCUGUUAUUUUCCGGCGACGGCAGCCAAACCAGUCAACCCUCGUACUCUCCACCGUGUGGGCAGCCAGUGGCAUGUCUUCCCCGGCUCCGUGUCGUUCCCUUCGUAGGCCUCGCCGUCGUCCACCGCCCUGGUGCUCUCGGCGCGGCGUGGUCAACGAUGUCCAUCCAACGGCCGUAGUGCUUCUUCAACCUCUGGUCUUCUUGCCCCAGCCGCCCAAAGCAGCGCCGGUCGUGCCGCAUGCUCCUAACUCCCGUGGCUGGCUGUGCUGCCGCGAAGGCCUCACCGUCCCCAUACUACUCCCACCGCUGGCCAGGCCAUCCCUCCACUCACCCACUCCUCCUGUUAUUCUGCAGCGACGGUAGCCUCACACCGCAGCCGAACCAGUGAACCCUCGUACUCCUCUCCGCGUGGGCAUCCACUGCCGCGUCUUCCCCGGCUCCGCGUCAUCCCCUUCCUAGGCCUCGCCAUCGUCCACCGUCAUGGUGCUCUCAGCGCGGCGUGGUCAAUGUGGUCAACGACCGACUUCCAUCGGAAGAGUACUGUACGUGGAGAGGCUGACAGUUGGGUCCACGGCAGCCGCAAGGAAGUGCCUCCUUAUUACAUGCAAAAUAAUUAUUCCUCCACCUGACAGCAGGGACCCACCGGACGGGCCACCAGUAUUUCGCGGAAAAAAUGUUUCCCCCUGACUGUUGGGACCCACCGGACAGGCCACCGUAUUUCGUGAAAAAAAAGGUUUGCCCAUGACUGCUGGGACGCACCNNNNNNNNNNNNNNNNNNNNNNNNNNNNNNNNNNNNNNNNNNNNNNNNNNNNNNNNNNNNNNNNNNNNNNNNNNNNNNNNNNNNNNNNNNNNNNNNNNNNNNNNNNNNNNNNNNNNNNNNNNNNNNNNNNNNNNNNNNNNNNNNNNNNNNNNNNNNNNNNNNNNNNNNNNNNNNNNNNNNNNNNNNNNNNNNNNNNNNNNNNNNNNNNNNNNNNNNNNNNNNNNNNNNNNNNNNNNNNNNNNNNNNNNNNNNNNNNNNNNNNNNNNNNNNNNNNNNNNNNNNNNNNNNNNNNNNNNNNNNNNNNNNNNNNNNNNNNNNNNNNNNNNNNNNNNNNNNNNNNNNNNNNNNNNNNNNNNNNNNNNNNNNNNNNNNNNNNNNNNNNNNNNNNNNNNNNNNNNNNNNNNNNNNNNNNNNNNNNNNNNNNNNNNNNNNNNNNNCUUAUUAUGCACAGAAAAAUGAAUACUCCCCCUGCUAGCUGGGACCCAACCUGGUGGGAGGCUGACUUGUGGACCUACUAAGUUGACGAGGAUGGAGGGCUUUGUCAACUUAGUCAAUAUGAACGAUUCUAGCUCCAGUGACCGUACGAUGUCCAUCCAACGGCUGUAGUGCUUCUUCAACCUCUGGUCUUUUUGCUCCAGCCGCCCAAAGCUGCGUCAGUCGUGCCGUGUGCUCCUCCCUUCUCAUGGCCGGCUGUGAUGCCGCGGAGGCCUCACCGCCCCCUACUACUCCCACCGCUGGCCCAUGCUAUCCCUCUACUCACCCACACCCCCUGUUAUUCUGCGGCGACGACAGCCUCACGCCGCAGUUGAACCAGUGAACCCUUGUACUCCUCUCCGCGUGGGCAUCCACUGCCGCGUCUUCCCUGGCUCCGUGUCAUCCCCUUCCUAGGCCUCGCCGUCGUCCACCGCCUUGGUGCUCUCGGCGCGGCGUGGUCAAUGUGGUCAAUGACCGACUUCCAUCGGAAGAGUACUGUACGUGGAGAGGCUGACAGCUGGGUCCACAGCCACAGCCCAGUUUUUUUGUGAUUUGCCAAGUAAGUCGCUUUGUCAGGCCUGUUGGGCUGUAAAUAUUUCAAGACGAGGAGAGCUUCAUUCGGCUGGCCGAGAAAAUGGCCCAUCAGUAAUGAGAAAUGGGCUAUACAUUUUUAAAACACAUCAAACCGGCAAUUAGUUUAAAAUAUCUUUUUUUCAUUUUGAGAUUUUAAAUUAUAUUAAUUUUUAUGCAUGGAGAAUUUGUUGGAUUUUAUAUUGAUAUACAUUUAUUUUUAAAAUCAGUUUGAAUGUGAGUCGAAAUUUCAAGAUUAAAAACAGUUCGGACCGCACCGAAAUAUGCAAAAUUUCGUUAAUUUUUUAACCGUGGCCACAAUAUGGGCUGUAAUGCUAACAAAAAGAAUAUGGACUCCAAAAAAAACCUUAAGAAUUAGCAAAUGGGCUGUAAAUUAUUAGAAAUAAUGGCAGAUGGGAUGUAUGAUGUUUUCCACAAAUUUGAGGCUUUCCUAAAAAAAGGUUGACACACAAGCACUGACUGUUGGAUGUCCAUCCAACGGCCGUCGUGCUUCUUCAAUCUCUGCUCUUCCUGCUCCAGCCGCUCAAACAAGCGCCGGCGGGACUGCCUGCUCCCUCCUCCUCGCGGCCGGCUAUGCUGCCGUGCAGGCCUCACCGCCCGACCGUACUCCCAUCGCUGGCCUAGCCAUUCCUCUACUCACCCACACCUGCUGUUAUUCUCCGGCGACGGUAGACGAACCAGUAAACCCUCGUACAGUCGUACUCCCCUCCGCGUGGGAAACAACUGCCGAGUCUUCCCUACCGCCGUGUCGUCCCCUUCCUAGGCCUCGCCGUCGUCCACCGUCCUGGUGCUCUUGGCGCGGCAUGGUCAACGUGGUCAAUGAUCGACAUGCAUCUGAAGUGGACUGUACGUGGAGAGGCCGACAGCUGGGUCCACGGCCGCAUGCAAGGAAAUGCCUCCUUAUUAUGUGCAAAAUAAUGAUUCCUCCCCUGACAUCAGGGACCCACCGAAAGGGCCUCUAUAUUUCAUGAAAAAAACGUUACCGCCUCUGACAGCUUGAACCCACCAGCUAUAUCUACGCACGCAAGGAAGUGCCUCCUUAUUACGCUCAAAAAAUGAAUACCCCCCUGCUAGCUGGGACCCACCUUGGUGGGAGGCUGACUUGUGGGCCUACUAAGUUGACGGGGAUGGAGGGUGAGGGAGUCCUGGAUUAGGGGGUCUCCGGACAGCCGGACUAUAUCCUUUGGCCGGACUGUUAGACUAUGAAGAUACAAGAUUGAAGACUUCGUCUCGUGUCCAGAUGGGACUCUACUUGGCGUGGAAGGCAAGCUAGGCAAUACAGAUAUGUAUAUCUCCUCCUUUGUAACCGACCUUGUGUAACCCGAGCCCUUUCUGGUGUCUAUAUAAACUGGAGGAUUUUAGUCCAUAGAAAAAUAACAAUCAUACCAUAGGCUAGCUUCUAGGGUUUAGCCUCUCCGAUCUCGUGGUAGAUCAAAUCUUGUAAUACCCAUAUCAUCAAGAAUAAAUCAAGCAGGACGUAGGGUUUUACCUCCAUCAAGAGGGCGCGAACCUGGGUAAAAUAUUGUGUCCCCUGCCUCCUGUUACCAUCCGCCUUAGACGCACAGUUCGGGACCCCCUACCCGAGAUCCGCCGGUUUUGACACCUACAUUGGUGCUUUCAUUGAGAGUUCCUCUGUGUCGUCAUCAUCAGGCUUGAUGGCUCCUUCGAUCAUUGUUAGCGAUGCAGUCCAGGGUGAGACUUUUCUCCCCGGACAUAUUUUUGUAUUCGGCGGCUUCGCAUUGCGGGCCAACUCGCUUGGCCAUCUGGAGCAGAUCGAAAGUUACGCCCCUGGCCACCAGGUCAGGUUUGGAAGCUUAAACUACACGGCCGAUAUCCGCGGAGACUUGAUCUUCAACGGAUUCGAGCCUCUGCCUUGUGCGUCACGCGGUCACGAUGAGUACGAUUUAGCUCUACCAUCAGACAGUGUUCAGGAGAUCGCAUCGGCAGCCGCUCCGACCCUCAAUUCGGAGCCAGUUGCGCCGUCCAUGGACGGGUGGAUGGACCCCUCCACGGAGGCCUUACCCUCGGCGGCGAUCGAGCCGAACACCAACCUUAUCCUUCGCGAGGCCCGUGACUCCACAUUACCGGACUCUCCUCCGAACUCUGAACCAUCCGCGCCCCUGCCAAUCGAAUCCGAUUGGGCACCGAUCAGGGAGUUCACUGCCGUGGAUAUCUUUCAGCACUCGCCCUUCGGCGACAUACUGAAUUCACUAAGGUCUCUCUCUUUGUCAAGGGAGUCCUGGCCGGAUUAUGACCGGCAGGAUUGGGAUGCGUACGAUGAAGAAAUUCGACACCCACCCACCACCCACUUCAUAGCCACUGUCGAUGAUUUGACCGACAUGCUCGACUUCGACUCCGGAGACAUCGACGAUAUGGACAACGACGCAGGAGACAAACAUGAACCAGCGCAUAUAGGGCACUGGAAAGCCACCUCAUCAUACGAUAUAUACAUGGUGGACACACCCAAAGAAGGCAAUGGCGACAAGACAGCGGAGGAUGACCCCUCCAAGAAGCAACCCAAGCGCCGACGUCAGCGGCGCCGCUCUAAGUCCCGCCAAAGCAAAAGUGGUGAUACUGGCACAUGAGAUAAUAACACUCCGGAUAGUGCCGAAGAUGGCAACAAUCCCCUCCAACACGAUCUAGGACAGGAGGAUGGAGAGGCCAGCCCUCCAGAGAGAGCGGCAGAUGGAGAGGCGGAGGAUGAUAAUUACAUGCCCCCCUCCGAAGACAAGGCAAGCCUCGACGAUGACGAAUUCGUCGUGCCAGAGGAUCCCGUCGAACAAGAGCGCUUCAAGUGCCAGCUUAUAGCCACGGCAAAUAACCUUAAUAAAAAGUAGCAGCAGCUUCAAGCUGAUCAAGAUCUGCUAGCUGACCGAUGGACUGAAGUCCUCGCGGCCGAGGAAUAUAAACUCGAACGCCCCUCCAAGAGUUACCCAAAAUGCAGGUUGCUACCCCGACUGGAGGAAGAAGCGUAUGACGCGGCUAAUCGGCCACCUCGUGGCCGCGAUAGAGAGACAUUCCAGCCAAAAGCUCAGCCUGCACCCCGACGCCAUUCAAAUAAAAAGGCAUGGGGAAAUACGCCAGACCUGCGAGACGUAUUGGAGGACAAAGCAAAACAUGCAAGAUCGAUCUACGGAUCACGAGGGUGCGCCACUAUGCAAGACGAUAAACGUCACGCCAGAUACAGUAAAAGUAAAUCCGGUCGGGCCGAACACAGCGGAGAAGACUCAUUGGAGCUGCGUCGCGAUAUAGCCCAGUACAGAGGCGCAGCACACCCCUUAUGCUUCACAGACGAAAUAAUGGAUCAUCAAAUCCUAGAAGGUUUCAAACCCGUAAAUAUAGAAUCAUACGACGGUACAACAAAUCCUGCGGUAUGGAUCAAGGAUUUCCUCCUGCAUAUCCACAUGGCACGUGGUGAUGAUCUACACGCCAUUAAAUACCUCCCACUCAAACUCAAAGGACCAGCUCGGCAUUGGCUCAAUAGCUUGCUGGCAGAGUCCAUUGGCUGUUGGGAGGAUCUGGAAGCCGCAUUCCUUGACAACUUUCAGGGCACUUAUGUGCAACCACCAGAUGCCGAUGACUUGAGCCACAUAAUUCAGCAGCCAGAGGAAUCGGCCAGGCAUUUCUGGACACGGUUCCUAACAAAGAAAAAUCAAAUCAUCGACUGUCCGGAUGCUGAGGCUCUAGCAGGUUUCAAGCACAACAUCCGCGACGAGUGGCUAGCCCGGCACCUUGGUCGGGAAAAGCCGAAAUCUAUGGCAGCCCUCACAACACUCAUGACCCGCUUUUGUGCAGGAGAAGACAGGUGGUUGGCUCGCAGUAACAACAUAUCAAAGAACCAUGGUACUUCGGAUACCAAGGACGGCAGUAGCAGGUCACGUCGCAACAAACAUAAGCGCCGCAUUAACAACGACAAUACCGAGGAUACGGCAGUUAAUGCCGGAUUCAAGGGCUCUAAACCCGGUCAGCGGAAAAAGCCAUUCAAAAGAAGCACUCCGGGGCUGUCCAGUUUGGACCGUAUACUCGAUCGCUCGUGUCAAAUACACGGCACCCCCGACAAGCCAGCCAACCACACCAAUAGGGAUUGUUGGGUGUUCAAGCAGGCCGGCAAGUUAAUUGCCAAAAACAAAGAUAAGGGGCCACAUAGCGAUGACGAGGAGGAGCCCCGGUAGCCGAAUACUAGAGGACAGAAGAGGUUCCUCCCACAAGUGCGGACGGUGAACAUGAUAUACGCAACCCACAUCCCCAAGAGGGAGCGGAAGCGUGCGCUCAGGGACAUAUAUGCGUUGGAGCCAGUCGCCCCAAAGUUCAACACAUGGUCCUCCUGUCCGAUCACCUUCGAUCGCAGGGACCACCCCACUAGUAUCCGUCAUGGCGGAUUCGCCGCACUGGUCCUAGACCCAAUCAUUGACGGAUUUCACCUCACUCGAGUCCUUAUGGAUGGCGGCAGCAGCCUGAACCUGCUUUACCAGGACACAGUGCGCAAAAUGGGUAUAGACCCCUCAAGGAUCAAACCCGCAAAAACGACCUUUAAAGGUGUCAUACCAGGUGUAGAGGCCCAUUGCACAGGCUCAGUCACACUGGAAGUGGUCUUCGGAUCCCCGGAUGACUUCCGAAGUGAAGAGUUAAUCUUUGAUAUAGUCCCGUUCCGCAGUGGUUAUCAUGCACUGCUCGGGCGAACCGCAUUUGCGAGAUUCAAUGCGGUACCACAUUAUGCAUACCUCAAGCUCAGGAUGCCAGGACCUCAGGGGGUCAUUAAAGUUAAUGGAAACAUAGAGCGCUCUCUCCGAACGGAGGAGCACACUGCGGCCCUCGCAGCGGAAGCGCAAAGCAGCCUCUUAAGGCAAUCCACUAGUUCGGCGUUUAAGGACCCGAACACCUUCAAGCGCGCCCGGAGUAAUCAGCAACAGGACCGCCUGGCACGUUCCGAGCUCGCAUAGCAAUGCGGCCCCCACCCCGCCCAAGCCAAAUGGUGGAACUCGUGCCACACGUAUAUAAUUACGCAUUAAAAAUACCAUGGGCACAGGUAGGGAGGGGGCACGACUACGGCAUGCCCCAAGACGCGGCUUAAACCGCACUAGGGGCUUCCCGCUUUGUUAUUUUUCUCUCUUUCAGGACAUUAAUAUCUCAAAACCCUGUCCGGCAGCAUGAUUGCCAAACACAUGAUUCAACAACCAAGGAGGCAGAAAGCUACAUCACACCACUAAACUCCCAGGUGGAUUACAAUAACGAGUGAAAUACUUGCUUUAAUAUUAUUCCUCAGCUUGCCCUUGGAGGGGACAUAGUCCUACUUUUUGCUUAUCGCACUACCUGUAUCAUUCUGCUCUAACGCAUGUUUUUUAAUAAACAAUGCAUUGCAUUAAGGCUUUUAUUGCAUUCUUCUUUAUAUAUAUAUAUAUAUAUAUAUAUAUAUAUAUGUGUUCAUUCGUGACAUCCAGCACCCGUACACUCUGGUACGGCCAAUACACCAGGGGCUUAAGUACCCCACAAUAUGGUGUGAGAAGUCCGAACACUUUCACAAGUGCGGCACCCCGAACUUAUAACAUUAUAUGCAUCAGCUCCGAAUCAUGUCUUUGGUCAAUAGUUGGGUUUGCCCGGCUCCCAUGUUUUGGUAUAUUACGUUCCGCUAUAUCGGCUAAGGUAGCACUGGGAGAACUACUGUGAUUGUGCCCCGGUUCAGCUGGGCUAAGCACCUCAGUAGAGAAAGCUAAAACUGACUGUCAUGAUAAGGCGAGAGACUGGUCGCUGUUCGAGAGGUUUUCGAGUCCCUAAAGACUUAUGCCGCUUAGAGCGAGGAGUCGGCCCUGUCCGGCUUAAGGCGUGUAUCGCGCCCCAAAUUCGGCCUUCCGAAUACUAGGGGCUUCGCCGAAAUUUAAAAUUAUAGAAUUCUAUGGCUAAGUGAGAGUGAUAACGCAUUAUAGUCUGAUUGCCUUGUUCGUUGUGCUGAGCACCUCCCUCGAAGGACCCAACAAUGAGAACAAGAGUGCUCAGGUUUAUCCCGAACACCCCAGCACUCGUGGCAUGGGGGCAGAAGCCGACGACUAGCCAUCUCUCAAAUUUGAUAAACGGCCAAACAUAAGGUAAUAUUUUAAAUUCAAACAAGCAUUGCAUAGCGCAUAUGAACAAGUUUUCAUAGAUACAGGAUUACACGAGCGAGUUUACUCAAAUAUUACAUCUUUCGUACACUCGUCCGCUAUGAGACGGGCACCCUUCAGGACACCUUCAUAGUACAUCUCGGGAUGGCGCUGCUCCUUGCCCGCCGGCGGCCCUUCCUUAAUCAGCUUCACGGCAUCCAGCUUGGCCCAUUGCACCUUCACACGGGCGAAAGCCCGGCGUGCACCUUCGAUGCAGACGAACCGCUUGAUGACUUCCAGCCAUGGGCAGGCAUCCACAAGCCGCCUCACCAGGCCAAAGUAGCUAUUGGGAAGGGCGUCGCCAGGCCACAUCCGGACUAUAAAGCCCUUCAUGGCCUGUUCGGCCGCCUUGUGUAACUCGACCAGCUGCUUUAGCUGGUCGCUCAUGGGCACCGGGUGUUCGGCCCCAGUAUACUGAGACCAGAACAACUUCUUCAUUGAGCUUCCCUCCUCGGCCUGGUAAAACUGUGCGUCAUCCGACAUGCUGCGGGGCAAAUCUGCGAACACUCCUGGAGAGCUCCGGAUUCGGGUAAGUAACAAGUAAUUUACUUUCACAUGCUUGCUCUGCAUAAGGAAUGCCUUACCCGCCGCUAUUUUAUUCAUCGCCUCAAUCUCCUGGAGGGCUCUUUGGGCUUCAGCCUUGGUAUUCACACCGCAGCGAACCAGUGAACCCUCGUACUCCUCUAUGUGUGGGCAUCCACUGCCGCGUCUUCCCCGGCUCCGCGUCGUCCCCUUCCUAGGCCUCGCCGUCGUCCACCGCCCUGGUGCUCUCGGCGCGGCGUGGUCAACGUGGUCAAGGAACGGCUUCCAUCAGACGUGGACUGUACGUGGAGAGGCUGACAGCUGGGUCCACGGCCGCAGCAAGGAAGUGCCUCCUUAUUACGUGCAAAAUAAUUAUUCCUCCACCUGACAGCGGGACCCACUGGAGGGCCACCGUAUUUCAUGAAAAAAACGUUUCCCCCUGACUGCUAGGACCCACCAGCUACAUCUUCGCAGGCAAGGAAGUGCCUGACAGUCGGGACCCACCUGGACCUGGUCGAAGCGUACGUAGCAUUGUCAUUUUGGUCGUGAACAUGUACGUACAUACUGGUCGAUGUAGAGGCGCGCACAUGUCGUAGUAGAGGCGCGCACGUGUUGUAGUAGAGGCGUGCACAUAGCAUUUACAUGUACGUACAGUGGCCAGGGUGCAAGAAAGAAAAUACGGCCAUGUAUGUGUACAUACGGGCGGGGUCUCGAACACCUACUCGCGCAUACGUACGACGGAGGAAACGGACUUGUGUUGGAGCGCUACGGUCGAAACGGGGGUCCUGUUCAUCGGGAGGGGUGUGGCAUACCGCAAAACUGGACUCCACGAGAUACUGUUCAUCUCCACUGUCGACCUCCUCCAGCCUCCACGGGAUCCUGUUCAUCCAGCCUCCACCGCGCGCUACUCCACCAGCUACUGUUCAACCACCCCUCCACCGUCUACUGUUCAUCCAGCCCUCCACACCACGGGGUCCUGUUGAACCACCCCUCCACGGGCACCCCUCCGCCGUCUACUAUUCAUCCAGCCNNNNNNNNNNNNNNNNNNNNNNNNNNNNNNNNNNNNNNNNNNNNNNNNNNNNNNNNNNNNNNNNNNNNNNNNNNNNNNNNNNNNNNNNNNNNNNNNNNNNNNNNNNNNNNNNNNNNNNNNNNNNNNNNNNNNNNNNNNNNNNNNNNNNNNNNNNNNNNNNNNNNNNNNNNNNNNNNNNNNNNNNNNNNNNNNNNNNNNNNNNNNNNNNNNNNNNNNNNNNNNNNNNNNNNNNNNNNNNNNNNNNNNNNNNNNNNNNNNNNNNNNNNNNNNNNNNNNNNNNNNNNNNNNNNNNNNNNNNNNNNNNNNNNNNNNNNNNNNNNNNNNNNNNNNNNNNNNNNNNNNNNNNNNNNNNNNNNNNNNNNNNNNNNNNNNNNNNNNNNNNNNNNNNNNNNNNNNUGUUCAUCCCAUCGAUCGGCUUUAGUUAGCAGCAGCGGCGAAGAAAUCGCUCGAUCGGGUUCAGUUAACAGCCAUCGUUCGAUCGCUCGGGUUCAGUAACGCGUAGCCUGUAGUGCAAUCGCUCGGGUUCAGUUAGAGCCAACGCCUCGCACACACACGCAUACGUGUACGAGAGAAACCCGCGUCGCUCGGCCGCCGACCUCCCACCGUAACCGGGAACUCCCCAAAAUUUUCCUCCCCCUCGAUUCUACCAUGGUUUUUUCCGUCAUGGACAACCCAAAGAAUGUCAUGCAGCUGCGUCUCCGGCCCGCCCAGGACGAAAAGCCCAUUUCCUGUCAUGAUUUUUUGUCAUAGAAGUAGGAGCCCACCACAUCUAUGAUGAUAGCGGGUUUUGUCACAAUUAUUCAUAGAAGUGUCAUAUGUAUGACAGAAAAAAUUUCGUUCGGCCCAAAAUGUCACGGAUGUGUCUUUUUUUGUAGUGAGUGGGCCGGACCAGAAGACAGCCUUGCCUACCGGCUCGGCUGGCUGGCCCGGAAUGGGCCCAUGUGGGCAAUGUACUUAAGCCUGUCGGUAGCGCGUGAGUGGCUAGCGAACGGCUGGUAGGAAUAACUACUUUCCUCUUUCGUGUUGUAAAGCUAAACCUCCUCCUCCCUUCUCUCCAUGGAUCUGUGAAUUGUAGCUCGAGCUGUGAUAAUGGAGGAUAGUUGAGGAACUGUGUUUGAGUGCUAACAACCUGGUAUCAGCGUCGUUCCGUCUUGGAGCUGCCCCACCACCACCACCGCACGCGUCUGGCAAAUCGCCGAUGAGUCGAGGCGAUGGAGAGGAUCUCGCCGGAGACCAAGGCGAUCUACGAACUCCUCCGCGCUGACUUCGAUGCUGCCCUCGCCAAGAGCUCCUCUGAGCGCAGCGAGAAGAUGGUGUCCACGCUCGCGAAGCUGGACUCCAAGCUCUACCAACUAUUGGGGCGACUCGAGGAUGUGAAGCUGUCCCUCGGAGUCGACAUCAAUGAGCUAGAGUUAGCUUCUUUUCCUCCAAUAUGCAUAAAGACCUAGACUUAGCUUUAUUUCCUCCUAUAUGCUUACCAUAAUGACCUAGAGUUAGCUUCUUUUCCUCCAAAAUGACUUAAUAAGCUUACUGACCUACAAAACCAUCCAUUUUACCUAAGUUAGCUCUGAAAUGAUCUAUACUUAGCUUUGUUUCCUCCAAAAUGACCUAAGUUAGCUCUAAUAUGCUUAGUUAACUAGGUUUGCUCAAUAUGACAUGUACUUAGCUUACUUAUGUCAAAAAUGGCAUAAUUGGCUUAGUUAGCUCAUAAACAAUCCAUUUUACCUAAGUUAGCUCUAAAAUGACCCAUUUUACCUUAGUUAGCUCAUAAAUGAUCCAUUUUACCCAAGUUAGCUCUAAAAUGACCCAUUUUACCUAGGUUAGCUCCAAAAUGAUCCAUUUUACCUAGGUUAGCUCUAAAAUGACCCAUUUUACCUUGGUUAGCUCCAAAAUGACCCAUCUUACCUAGGUUAGCUCUAAAAUGAUGCAUUUUACCUAAGUUAGCUCAUAAACGAUCCAUUUCACCUAGGUUGGCUCAUAAACGAUCCAUUUCACCUAAGUUAGCUCACAAACGAUCCAUUUUAACUAGGUUAGCUCCAAAAUGACCCAUCUUAACUGGGUUGGCUCUAAAAUGAUGCAUUUUACCUAAGUUAGCUCAUAAACGAUCCAUUUCACCUAGGUAAGCUCAUAAACGACCCAUUUCACCUAAGUUAGCUCACAAACGAUCCAUUUCACCUAAAUUAGCUCAUAAACGACCCAUUUCACCUAAUNNNNNNNNNNNNNNNNNNNNNNNNNNNNNNNNNNNNNNNNNNNNNNNNNNNNNNNNNNNNNNNNNNNNNNNNNNNNNNNNNNNNNNNNNNNNNNNNNNNNNNNNNNNNNNNNNNNNNNNNNNNNNNNNNNNNNNNNNNNNNNNNNNNNNNNNNNNNNNNNNNNNNNNNNNNNNNNNNNNNNNNNNNNNNNNNNNNNNNNNNNNNNNNNNNNNNNNNNNNNNNNNNNNNNNNNUCAUAAAUGAUCCAUUUCACCUAAGUUAGCUCAUAAACGAUCCAUUUCACCUAAGUUAGCUCAUAAAUGAUACAUUUCAUCUUAGUUAGCUCAUAAACGAUCCAUUUCAACUAAGUUAGCUCAUAAAUGAUCCAUUUCACCUUAGUUAGCUCAUAAACGAUCCAUUUCAACUAAGUUAGCUCAUAAAUGAUCCAUUUCACCUUAGUUAGCUCAUAAACUACCAUUUCAACUAAGUUAGCUCAUAAAUGAUCCAUUUAACCUAAGUUAGCUCAUAAAUGACAUAUACUUCUUCUUCUAGUCUUUCUUCUUCUAGUCACCUUUUUCUAACUUUCUUAUUUGCCAUUUUGCAUAUUUCAUUCACUUCACGGAAGCUAGCUUGCUAUGAUGGAGUGCUUGUUUUUUCUUUUAUUCUCUUCUAGUAUUCUUCUAGCUUGCUAUGAUCGAACUUGCUAUCUUGAUGAAACUUUGCAUUGUAAUAUGUAUGGAUGGAACAAUGUGUAUGUGCAACUUGCUAUGUAUGAAUGGAUGGAACUAUAUAUGUAUGUACGAUGAAACUUAUGUGCUAGAUAUGUCAUAUGUUUGUUGUUAAAUAGCCAUGUGAAAUAUAUAUAUAUAUAUAUAUAUGUCAUAUAUAUUUGCUAUGAAAAUUGUUGGAUUUAAAAAAACAGAAAAAAGAGGCAAUGCAGGCCCUUUGCCGUCUGCCGCCGACGGCAACGGGCUCUUUGCCGUCAGUGGCGGACAGCAAAGAAGCCACAUGGCAGCCACCUGUGCUUCCUGGGAGCUGACCCAUUUGGUCAGUUUGCCUACAGCAGAGGAAGGCAAAGCCUUUGCCUACAGUGGCGGAUGGCAAAGCUUUGGUGGGUAGUGACGUGCGGAUGACGUCAUUUGGCAGAUGGCAAAGGCCUGAUGCUUGUUUCCAUCAGCUGGCGGACGGCAAAGACUGCCGUUAGCCACCAAACGGACUAACAGCGAAUUUAUUGCCGUCGGCUUUCUUUGCCGUCAGCCGCUGAUGGCAAAGGCCCCUUUGCUGUCCGCUUCAGAAAGCAGACGACAAAGAAGGUCUUUACCGAUCCAAUCUCUGCCGGAGCCUUUUGCCAUCCGUGGCAUAUGGCAAAGGCCUUUGUCAUCCGCCAUCCAUGCCUUUGCCGUCUGCCUUGGCGGACGGCAAAGUAGCUAAUUCCUGUAGUGAAAUUCUAUGGGCCUUUUGAAGUUGUCGAGUGCAUUGGUGAAGUGGCAUAUCGGUUGGCUUUGCUGGUCACCAGUCGUGUGCACCCAGUGUUUUAUGUCUCUCUUCUGCGGAAAGUACUCGGCCUAUGUAACGCCCUUGAUGCGGCUAUAUCUCCCACGUGUCAAAGCACGACUUAGAGGCAUAACCACAUUGAAAGAAAUGUUGCAAGUGAGGUAAUCUUCACACAACCCAUGUAAUACAUAAGGAAAAGAGAUACAUAGUUGGCUUACAAUCGCCACUUCACACAAUACAUGAAUAAAGCAUUACAUUCAUCCAAAUACACUCAAGGUCCGACUACGGAACCAAAAUAAAAGAAGACUACCCCAAAUGCUACAUAGCUCCCCGAUCAUCCCAACUGGGCUCCACUACUGAUCAACUGGAAAACGGAACAACAUAAAGAACACGGUCUUCAUAGAGCUCCUCCUUGAGCUUGGUUGCGUCACCUGCACGAUAUCAUCGGCACCUGCAAAGUGGUUUUGGAAGUAUCUGUGAGUCACGGGGACUCAGCAAUCUCACACCCUCGCGAUCAAGACUAUUUAAGCUUAUAGGUAAGGUAAAGGUAUGAGGUGGAGCUGCAGCAAGCGACUAGCAUAUAUGGUGGCUAACCUAUACGCAAAAGAGAGCGAGAAGAGAAGGCAAAAGCACGGUCGAGAAUCUAUGAUCAAGAAGUGAUCCUAGAGAAACCUACGUCAAGCAUAACUCCAACACCGUGUUCACUUCCCGGACUCCGCCGAGAAGAGUCCAUCACGGUUAUACACGCGGUUGAUGUAUUUUAAUUAAGGUUAACUUAAGGUUUUCUACAACCGGACAUUAACAAAUUCCCAUCUGCCCAUAACUGCGGGCACGGCUUUCGAAAGUUCAAAACCCUGCAGGGGUGUCCCAACUUAGCCCAUCACAAGCUCUCACGGUCAACGAAGGAUAUUCCUUCUCCCAAGACAAUCCGAUCAGACUCAGCAUCCCGGUUACAAGACAUCCUCGACAAUGGUAAAACAAGUCCAGCAACACCGCCCGAAUGUGCCGACAAAUCCCGAUAGGAGCUGCACAUAUCUCGUUCUCAGGGCACACUCAGUCUGUCCAAACUUCCAGUAGGCCAGCCCAGAGUUUCCCCUGGUGGCCACCGGCGGCUGACGAGGUGGACCAACACUCAGAGGAGCACUGGCCCGGGGGUUUAAAUAAAGAUGACCCUUGAGUCUGCAGAACCCAAGGGAAAGAAAAGGCUAGGUGGCGAAUGGUAAAACCAAUGUUGGGCAUUGUUGGAGGAGUUUUAUUCAAGGCGAACUGUCAAGGGGUUCCCAUUAUAACCCAACCGUGUAAGGAACGCAAAAUCCAGGGACAUAACACCGAUGUGACAGAAACUAGGGCAGCAAGAGUGGAACAAAAUACCAGGCAUAAGGCCGAGCCUUCCACCCUUUACCAAGUAUAUAGAUGCAUUAAUUAAAUAAGAGAUAUUGUGAUAUCCCAACAAAAUAUCCAUGUUCCAACAUGGAACAAGCUCCAAUCUUCACCUGCAACUAACAACGCUAUAAGAAGGGCUGAGCAAGCGGUAACAUAGCCAAACAACGGUUUGCUAGGACAAGGUGGGUUAGCGGCUUGGCUUAACAAUAUGGGGGCAUGAUAAGCAAGUGGUAGGUAUCGCAGCAUAGGCAUAGCAAAAGAGCGAGCAACUAGCAAGCAAAGAUAGAAGUGAUUUCGAGGGUAUGGUCAUCUUGCCUGAAAUCCCGCAAGGAAGAAGAACGAGUCCAUGAAGAAGUCAAACGGACGUAGACGAACGGAUCCUCACAAACGCGACGUAAUCGGAACCAACCCGAAGAAGCAACACCGGAAAGAAGCACACAACAUAGUAAACAACCAUCACAUAAACAUGGCAUGAUGCACAACCAAGUAUGGUGCAUGUCCGGUUUAAAUAUGCAUGGCAUGGAAAAGUGCACAAACAAAACUACAAAUUAAGUGGAGAUCAAUAUGCAACGAGUUGCAUAUUGACGAAACACCACAUGACUUAUUUAGUUCUCUCUCGGUUAUGUACCCAAAAAUAUUAAAUGUUGUUAAGCAUAUCAAGAGGUGAAACAUAAAGGGAUUAUUUAUCUAAACAAUUUAAAUGGGGCCGGAUAUAGCAAACAACAAAUCCGGUAAAUCCCCAUAUGCAUUAGUAAAUUAAUGCAAACAACAAUUUAAACCAUCUUAAUGUUGUUAACAUGAUGCAGAUGACAUGAUCAAGUUUUUAUGCAAGUAUUACUAAAAGUUGACAUGAGCGUGAUGAGAGCAUUUGUGUCACCGUGGUAGAAAGAAAGGUGUACCACGGCGACGAAACGGAAAUGAUGCCGCGGCAACAUUCCGAUGAUCCGAUAGCUCACGGGGAUACCGGUGCAAAAGGAAGUGGGUGCGAGUGUGUCAUGCAAGAAGAUGGGGUGAUCCCGGUUACCGGGUUCCCACGGGUCGACGGCGUGGCAACGAAGAGGAACAACUACCGUUCAUGGGCGGAUACAACAUCCAAACAUGCAUCUCAUACAACUCAUGCAUUCGUCCACGGGCGUUCGUUCUCAGCGGUUAUACCUUCGAAGCGUGUGUUUCGAAGAGGACCGGUUCGUAGAGGAAGUAGCCAUUCACGAGCCAUUGAGGGAAGUAGUGGUACAUGACGACGGUAGUGGUACACACUUUCGUAGAUGUUCUGGGUCGUCGGUAGAGGUACUUGUCGCAUCGCCGGGCAUAUUCGUACCCGUUUCAGAGAGGAACUUGGCCUAUCCAUGUACUUGGCGUUUUGCAAUCCCAUGUCCAGGGUCGUCAUGUAGUUGUUCAGGCGUCGUGGAGGAACUUGACGUUCACGGGGUCCCGGUCUUGGCCAUGGAGAGGGGCGCAACCCACGCAAGGAGGGGAGGCCGUGGUGGGUGCACUGGGCAUGCGUGUGCAAAGGUCGACGGAGCUGGGCCUGCUGGAGGAACGUUGCGAGGGGCACGCCUCGUGGUCCACUAAAAGGAGCAAGGGAGGUCGCUGCGGUCAACGGUACGGCGAUCCCUCACUGGACUUGGCGCAGACGCGAACGAGGGCUUGAGGCGGCUGGCUCCGGGAUGUAGGGCACGGAGGGAGGUGUUGAUCCGGCCGUUUGACGGCGUCCCCGGUGAGAACCGAGUCGAGGCAGGGGUUCGGCGGCCAUGAGAUGGUCUCCUGUUACAGAGAACAAGAGAGAUGAGAGGUGGAGGAGGGAAAGAGAAGGAAAAAGAGGCGCGAGGGAAGAGGUCUUGAAGGUCGCCGGCGUUGAGAGCUCCGAUGAGCUGGUCCGGUGGCCUUGCGCGCGGCGGGCGCGGGUGCUCGAGGCGGCAAGGCAACCGGUGCUGGGGGCCCCGGCGAGCUCCGACCUGAACGAAGGGGACAGGCGGCGUGGUCUUCCUGCUAGGCGUGGAGGACGGUAGAAGCGGGGAACGGUGCCAUGGCAGGUGGCUGGAGGAGGCGCGGUCGGGGACUAGCGCCGCAGAGGGAGGCGCGCGAGAUCGAGAGGGGGAGAUGGAGAUGGGGAACGAGGGGUACGGGCGAGAGGAGGGGUCGAGCGAGGCAGGCGCUCUGCCUCCUGGCGGCGCGAGGGGAAGACAAGAGAGAGCGUGGUGAGGGGAUAGGGUUAGAAGGGAGAGAGUGGGCCUAGGGUAGGAUUAGGUGGGCCAAAAAGGCCGGCCCAGAAGAGAAGGGGCUGCGCCUGGAUCCUGGCUGGGCUCUUUCUCUCUCUCACACUCUCUUCUCUUAACCAAAAAGAGAGAGAGAAAAAAUAAAUAUAGAUAGAAGAAGAAGAAAAAAAAUUAAGAGAGGGUUAGGGAUGGAAUUCGGGCACGGGGACAAUUUUUACGGACUCGUAAAGAUGUGCACGGUCCACGAAAAUUAGGAGAGGCCUGAUUGCAAGAAUUUAAUUCAAAGUCAUUUGAAUUUAAUUCAAAUGGUUUGAACAAGGACUAGGAAUUAGAGGUGUCCAAAAAUGUUCGGAUUUUUGGUGGAGCUCCGGAAAAUGAUGAAAGAAAUAUAAGGCAAGGUUAGAGAGUCAACACUUGAAGAAGAAAAAGGCCAAGGGAUUUAAUAUGCAAGUGUGUUAAGGUGAAUUCCAAAUAAAUGGAAUAUUUAUAAUAGCUCCAUAAAUAUUAGGAGGAUAAUGUUAUAAAGAGAAGUCACUCUUCCCUCGAUUUAAAUGGAUCGAAGAUCCACACAAGUUAUUUAGUGGGUUUUAAGACGGGUUGCAUAUUGACAUGAUGACAUGAUGCAAGGCACAUGAUGCAAAGAGGAAAGCAACAAGCAAACAAAACACAUGACGAAACCCGGAAUCCAUGGAUGGCAUCUGAAUCUUCGGUCUUGGGGCGUCACAGCCUAACUCAUGAGGUACUACCCCAACUGCCUUCUCCAGAUAUGCAGUUUCAAUUCCUAGAACAGGUGUUGCAACAGCAAGUGGUGCGUCGCACAUCGAAUUCUUUGGUGCAAGUAUUGGUGAAGUGGAGCAACACUCCCGUGGAGAUGGCAACAUGGGAAGACAAGGUGCAACUCAAGCAAAAGUUUCCCAGAGCACCGGCUUGGGGGCAAGCUGUUUCUAACAGGGGAGGGAUUGCCAGCAGCAACGGUCAAGGUGAAGAAGCUACAGAUGAUCAAGCACCAGGAGUGGGCCGGCCCAGAAGACAGCCUCGCCUGCCGGCUCGGCUGGCUGGCCCGGAAUGAGCCCAUGCGGGCAAUGUACUUAAGCUUGUCGAUAGCGCGUGAGUGGCUGGCGAACGACUGGCAGGAAUAGCUACUUUCCUCUUUCGUGUUGUAACAGUUAAACCUCCUUCUCCCUCCUCUCCAUGGAUAUGUGAAUUGUAGCUCGAGCUGUGAUAAUGGAGGAUAGUUGAGGAACUGUGUUUGAGUGCUAACAUUGCCUCCCAAACAUAUUCCUCAAGUCGAUGGGCAUAAGUGCGCUGCUACCUGCUGCCUACCUGUGAUUUAGAUUUCAUACAGUUGGCAAAAGAUUUGACCGCGGUUUGUAUGGAGAAGUAUACAGGAGCAGGGGCCAUUAGAAAACUGAACUGGGCCUCAUUUGGUCUUCCAGUAUGGUGGAUGGAUUAUGGAGGGGCCGCCGUUUGGUAUUCCAGUACAGUGGGUGCGUGCCACACAACCUGAUAGAAGAAAUAAAGAUGACUUGGCUUAGGCGAUCACAUAUAAUUUUUCCGCAGACUUGCUUAGGUGGAUGGUUGCACGUUGAUUGACGAUGCGGAUAGCCUGCAUAUCAAGGGAAAUAGGUUAGUGAAGAUGAACUAUUUUAGAUAAUACUAGGGCAUGGGCCCGUGCGUUGCAACGGGACAAAAAAAAGAUUACUCCCUAUGUCCCAUAAUAUAAGAAUGAGUCUGAGUAGUAUCACACACCUUUUUCCUAUUCCUUGUCCUACCUGAUCCUUAUCGAUGGUUGUUGUUGAUAUGUGAAAAUAGAGAAAAGAGAACAAAUAUUACAUAAUCGGUUUUAGUGUUAUGCUAAUUUCCAACAUUAGGUCAAGUGGUGUAUAUAAUUGUACUACCCUUAUUUUAUAUAUAUGUAAUUUUUUGUGUGAGUUGCAUACUAAUUUUUUAUGAAAAUUGAUGCUAUUUUCCUCUAACUUGUUAUUCAAAAAUUCAUAUAUCAAAUAAAGUUUUAUUAUAAAAUUUAGCUGCUAGUUUCUUAGAAGAUUAUUGAAAAUAACGAUUUCUCAUGAAUAGAUUGAACCUCCGUAAGAAGAUAACGUAAGAUCGGAGUUGUAACAACCCGAGACCAAUUUUGUCCUCAUGAUAAUGUUUAUUUUAUUUUAUUUUACAUUUCAUCAUGAUUGAAUAUUUCACACCAAAUUAAAACUAUGGACAUUUUGGAAAAUCAUUUGAGCUUUUCUUGUAUUUUAUUUAAUUGCUUUUCCAAUUUCCAUUCCAACCUUCUCCAAAAUCCUUUGCAUUUUCAAUUACAAGUUUGGCCCCCAAAACUUUUUCCAAAAUUCUCCAAUUUCGGUGAAACUUUUUUUUGUGGACCUAAGUAUAAAUCAUGCAGACCACAGGAAAAGUUCAUAUUUUGUCGACCUUCUUCUAUUUACUUUUUUCAUCUAAUUUCUGUAAAGAAAAGAUCAACCGGCCAGGCCCGGCCCAAUAAGGCCUAAACCUAUCCCCGAUCGCCAACAACUCCCUCGAUCCUAUCCUCCCAAUCCCAGCGCCGCCACACACGCUCACAAAGAGGAGCGGGAGCCCUGCCCGCUGCCGUUCUGUCCUCCCUACUCCGAUCAUCUCCGCCCUAUGCCUCGCUCCAGGAGUUCCGCGAGCUGCGCCUCCGCUUCCUCCCCCCGGCGACGCCAUCUUGAGCGGCCGCUGAAGCCCUUUGCCAUUCGUGCCGAACUGCCUACCUUCUCCGGGAAUCUCUGUCCCCAGCCUUGCUCCGGGAGCCCCGCGCGUCGGACUACCGGUCAUGUCUGCCGCCUCCUUCUCUUUUUCUCUUGACUCGUUCUGUGUUUGUUGAUCCAAGAGGCUAGUUGUUGAUAUUACACGCAAUUUGCGUAGGUAUAUAAAUUGGUAGGAUUUCACGAAAGCAAUCGAGGUGGGAUUAUUAUUGUGAGUACGUGUGAAAAUCAGAUAAGGUACCUAAACAUGCUUGCAGGCCGAAACGUGCGUGCAGGCCCAUUGAGAGGAUGUGGAUGCAGACCAAUUGGAUGGACAAAAAAUUUAGUACCACCUCGCAAUUGGACGGACUUUCGACCAAAACUACCGGAGAAAACAUCUAGUGCGGGACGAAACCAAG